This 253-nucleotide ribosomal RNA is filed under the name uncultured bacterium. Its description in RNAcentral is "partial 16S ribosomal RNA". It matches the Rfam family "Bacterial small subunit ribosomal RNA", at positions 524 to 776 of the family's 1533-position model. The record is from RNAcentral.
UACGGAGGAUCCAAGCGUUAUCCGGACUUAUUGGGCUUAAAGGGUGCGUAGGCGGCUUAUUAAGUCAGGGGUGAAAGACGGUGGCUCAACCAUCGCAGUGCCCUUGAUACUGAUGAGCUUGAAUACACUUGAGGUAGGCGGAAUGUGACAAGUAGCGGUGAAAUGCAUAGAUAUGUCACAGAACACCAAUUGCGAAGGCAGCUUACUAAGGUGCAAUUGACGCUGAGGCACGAAAGCGUGGGGAUCAAACAGG